Non-coding RNA from Labrus bergylta (ballan wrasse), 1434 nucleotides. NCBI's taxonomy places the organism in Eukaryota, Metazoa, Chordata, Actinopteri, Labriformes, Labridae. The record is from RefSeq and is a predicted model, not a curated record.
UUUGCAUUGCUGAGGAAAACAAAAGCUGGAAAACAGUCAAAGUCUGGUUUUCUUCACCCCCCUGACCACAUCCGUUACACUCGCUCCUCAGAUCUCCCUCUUCUCUCCUCCUUUCAGUUACAAGAGCUUUGGGACGAUCCUUAACACGGCAGGUCUGGAAUUUGGCUACUUCCGGUUCUGCUGAGGAUCGAGGAGAUAGCAUAGAGGAGGAGCCUGAUCCAAUCAAAACCAGAGUCAGACUCAGCAUCCAACUGUGAGAGGAAACUUCAGGAACAUGGAGCCAACAGCAGGAAGGAGACGGAGACUGAGUAAAGAGCUUCCUCCUGAACUGUCUGACUUACUUGACACACUCACUGAUCAUGCAACAUCGUACAUUAAAGCGUUUAACAGCAAAGAAAAAGGGAUGAGACAGAUUGUAGAAGAGUUAAAUGUAAUCGCUGCUGAAGUUAAAGAGAUGCAGAAAAACAGAAAUACAGCUAGAAUGACAGGAGUUGCUUUAGCAGGAGUCGGGCUUGCAGCUCUAUUCACCGGGGGGUUGGCCUUAUUACCAGCAGUAGCAGCAGCAGCAGGAGGAGGUGCUGUUGUUGCUACAAAUGUGUCAAAAACCAUAAUAGAGAAUGGAAGUGCAAAAAAAGCUGAAACGUUGGGGAAAGAAUUCAUGGAGAUUAUUGAGCCACUGAAGGAACGACUGCAGAAAAUGCAAACUUUGUUCCAAGAGUUGGAGGAAAGAUCAGCUGCAGUUCAGACUGAGGCAAGCAAGUUUGAGAGGAUUCUUAAAGAAAUGUUUGAACUGAGAAAACUGACUGAAACCACUUUGUCUGGAGUUACAGUUCUGAGCGAUGUGAUUGGUAAUCUGCUGAUGCUCAUUGUGAUGAUCUUCAGAGUUACUGCGACACCUGAAGAAGAUAAAAAACUGACAGACUCUAUCAUCCAAUCAGCUGAUCAGAGUCAGAGGGUCAUUGAUGCUUUUCAAAGGAUGAGUCAGGAACUGGAAAAACAGAUCAAUAAAGAGAAGAUGAAGCAAGCUGAGAAGAGUUCAAAUUCAGAUUAAAAGUUAAAUCAAACAAAUGAUGUCACAGCGUCUCCGUUGUGUAAACUAACAAUAAGCAGCUCCUCUGAAAACAAACUUUUCGCACAUGCUCAGUACGCCUACAGACAAGAGCCAUGAGCAGGUGGACUACAACAACAAUGGCCGACUCCUGAUUUCUGUUGGUGGAAACGUUGACUGUCAUGGCUCCCAGUCGGUGUUUCCUCUAAACGUUCUCUGCAGUUCAGGGUCACUCGGAGUAACGACCCCACGUCAUCGUCAGUCCACACAAACCUUUGUGUGUUAGUCGUGUUUGUUUACACCUCAGCGCUCUGCAGGAGGAAGAGGAAGUGACCACGAGCGUGUUCCAAAAUAAAAGCAGGGUUAAAUCCAAGCAGCAAGUAAAG